CACGAAAUUCCGGUCACCGGCCAUCCCGGUUGAAUUUCCGGAAAAAUAAUUAAUUAAAUAAUUAAUUUCGAAAAUUAAAUAAAUAAAUAUUAAAAAUCCAAUUUAGGCCUGUAUUGCCUGAUUGGAGCCCGAAACGGGUCGAGAAAAAUCCCGAGAUACAUUCAAUAAAUAGCCGAACCUUUCUACUUGCUAAUAACUAGAUCUAACCACCUAACAUGCAUCAUUAAGUCACUAAAUUAAUUGUUCUAACCUAAUCUAACCACCUAAUUGCACUUAAUUAAAUCUAACCAACCCUAAGAAUAAUUAGCAAACUAAUAAAGCAUUAGUGAGUAAAACUCACUUGACAAAAGCGGAGAUCGAAUCACCGCAACGGCGACACGACGGCGGCCGAAAUCGGACUUUCG
RNAcentral lists this long non-coding RNA (404 nucleotides) under Eucalyptus grandis. RNAcentral's name for it is "long non-coding RNA (EGRA_LNC006726)". Lineage: Eukaryota; Viridiplantae; Streptophyta; Magnoliopsida; Myrtales; Myrtaceae. The record is from RNAcentral.